CUCCAGUGUGGGAGGUCUCAGUCUACCUCGACAACAACGUGGUGUUUACAGAGCCAUUAUACAGGGACAUGACCGUGAGAGACUUCAAGCGUCACAUCACUCUAAAGGUUCAUACACUUGGAGUAGGUGACUUUGACCUGCUGGACAGGUCAAAUAUGCUCAUCCCAGAGCAUGUCCACAUUGUGAACAACAACAUUGAUGCAGUCAAGAUACAGAGGGUACGUCAGAACACUGUUCAAGUCUCAGAGUCAUCAUGGAGAGCUGACCUUUUCUAGAGUCAUGAUUACAGAUGGAGACACAGUAUUCAUGGAUGUUACUCCAUUUCAUGUCUUCGAAAUCACUAUUAUUCUCGUGACAUGUGUCUGGCAAUGAAGAGCUAGACUUCUUUAGUCUUGUUUGGCUGUGUACAUGUCCAUGGGCCAGACCGUAUGAGUCAUACCAUAGGUUAGGAAAGAUAGGGUUAAAGAAUUUAACUUAAGUAGAGUAGUCGAGGGGACAUACUGUAAAUCUAUACAUGAAAUUUGCAGUUGAAAUAAUUGUGUAUGUUCAGUAGAAAUGCAGUUGUUGUGUGUUUGUCAUAUUUUUGUAGUGGAGAGGUCACCGUAAAAACUGAACAUCGCAAAAAUUUCAAGAUGUACAGUACACAAGUAUGUCUUGGUAUUUCUGAAUGGAAAUUUAUACAGGCUUUCAUACACAAUACAAAAGCUGUAAUAGAUGUAUGGUUUAUUAUGAACAAUGAAAUUAAGUCAAUUCAAGCUACAUGGUAACAUUUUCCUUGCCUGUUAUUGAAAAUGUUGACUAUCAAGCCAGCAGAUCUAUACCAUAUCAAAUGUAAAUGGAUUUGUACAUGUACAUUUAUCUCCCUUGGUGCCUUGGUAUAAUAAUAGUGAACUAAACAACCACUACCAUCCAUGUAGUUCAGUGCAUAAUGCUCCUGACCAUAUUAUCGCGAUAGUUCUAAGUUAUACUGUGUUAGGAAAUGGAUCCUAUCUUAACCUACUUCAUUUGCAUGUACAGCACAAUGCUCUACUUUUAUCCUUGGCCAGUCCAUGUGCUCUCAACAUUACAGUAACAGAUAAUAUGAGAAUGUGCCAUAUCAUAAAUGUCUCUCAUUCAACUGCCGUUAGACAUUCA
Long non-coding RNA from Branchiostoma floridae (Florida lancelet), 1134 nucleotides. RefSeq lists it as uncharacterized. The record is from RefSeq and is a predicted model, not a curated record. The transcript has 2 exons. NCBI's taxonomy places the organism in Eukaryota, Metazoa, Chordata, Leptocardii, Amphioxiformes, Branchiostomatidae.